This 1386-nucleotide long non-coding RNA is filed under the name Parus major (Great Tit). Its description in RNAcentral is "lncRNA (ENSPMJG00000017367.1)". The record is from RNAcentral. Lineage: Eukaryota; Metazoa; Chordata; Aves; Passeriformes; Paridae.
UGGCAGUUACAGAUCAUCUGAAAUGACACUCUGUAGGAAGCAUUGUCUCUGGACACCCAUCUCAGCCCAACUUUCUGUGGCUUGCCAGAAAGCUCAGUUCAGCAGAUCUUGAAAGAUAAGCCCUGGACCCUCAAGCCCCAGUACAGACAAAGUCUGUGAGAGACACCUGUGCAAACCAGCCUCUUCCAUCCAUUCCAAAGCUGCAAGUAGCACAUCCAUUGCCACAAAGGUCAGGGUUCUUGUCAGCCACCGUUCAGGUAGGGGCCAAAGAGAUUUCUCUGUGCCUGACAUCCCGUCUGACAGAUGGGGACAUCCUGCAUCAGCUCUGCUGGAGAAGAUGGAUUGUCAUAGGAGAAAGAAAUCAUGGUAAACACUAGUGAUCAGAACUAUCAGUAACACAAUCAAAUUUUUUAUAUGGCCUAAGUAGCUUUUGAUGUGUAAGAAAGCACAUCCUUUAUAGAGAACUGCCUCAGCUAUGCCUCUGUAGCCUACAGGGAAGCAUUAAUGUUCAACUGGGUUCAUGUGUAGCAAGUUGUUGAUCUCAGUUUAGUCUUUGUUUCAUAUCCAACCUAAGCCUCAGCAAGGACACAGUGAUAGACUGCACUGACCAUCUGCCAGCUUCAGUUGUUUUGCUUUGUGCAGACACACAAGACCAGGAGGAGUUAUGGGGAGCCGGACAGGAAAAUCCUAUUGAAAUGUUGCCAGAAUCUUUCACUGUUCUGGCAAGGGGUGUUUACUGAUGCUCAUAUGUUUUAGUUUUUUUUACUAAAAAAUGCUUAACGUUUAUUUUACAAUGCUCUAAUUUAUUUUGGCUAGAUAUUAGCAACUCGCACAUUGCAAAAUGCUUUUAAACUGUGCUCUGUUCCCACUGUUUAUAACAAAACUCUCCCUGCUUCCAAUAGAGGGGACUCCACUCAAGGUACUGCCAAAAGGCAACGCUCCUUCAUGCACCACCCAGCACAACAAUGCUGGUCACGUCAAAGGAUGGGACCUACAGAAACAAGGCCUGCAGAUGGUGCCAGCAGUCGGCAAAAGCCAGAGGCAGUCCCCUGUCUGGGGAGCCAGCCGGGACUAAAUAGAAGUCACCCAUGAACAGGACACUCUUUGGCCCCAAAGGAUUUCCAAUUUCAAGGUUGCUGGAAGCUGAGGAAGCAGAUUCAGAAGUGUGCCUUAAAAUGUAUUUAAGCUUCUGUGUCACACUGCUGAAGACAUGCUGCUACGGGCAGGGAGGAAAGGAAGCUUAUACACUGUAUAUUUCCUGUUCUAUAUCCCUACUUCAAGUCUUUGCUCUGUACUGUGUGCUCUAGCUGUUAGCUUCAGUCUAAAACAAAUAGCCUGUUAACAGAGUCCAGGAGAAGAGGAAAACCUCAUUUUCCCAGCAGUGUC